This 116-nucleotide ribosomal RNA is filed under the name Propithecus coquereli (Coquerel's sifaka). The record is from RNAcentral. Lineage: Eukaryota; Metazoa; Chordata; Mammalia; Primates; Indriidae.
GUCUACCGCCAUUCCACCCUGAAUGUGCCUGAUCUUAUCUGAUCUCAGGAAGCUAAGCAGGGUUGGGGCUGGUUAGUAUUGGAUGGGAGACCAGGUCUCGCUCUGUUUCCCAGGCU